UACGGAGGAUCCGAGCGUUAUCCGGAUUUAUUGGGUUUAAAGGGUGCGUAGGCGGUUUGAUAAGUUAGAGGUGAAAUGUCGGGGCUCAACCCCGAAACUGCCUCUAAUACUGUUGGACUAGAGAAUAGUUGCGGUAGGCGGAAUGUAUGGUGUAGCGGUGAAAUGCUUAGAGAUCAUACAGAACACCGAUUGCGAAGGCAGCUUACCAAACUAUAUCUGACGUUGAGGCACGAAGGCGUGGGUAGCAAACAGG
This 253-nucleotide ribosomal RNA is filed under the name uncultured bacterium. RNAcentral's name for it is "partial 16S ribosomal RNA". It matches the Rfam family "Bacterial small subunit ribosomal RNA", at positions 524 to 776 of the family's 1533-position model. The record is from RNAcentral.